RNA transcript from Canis lupus familiaris (dog), 7669 nucleotides. It is a transcript of the gene named Kruppel like factor 7, with no coding region annotated. The record is from RefSeq and is a predicted model, not a curated record. The transcript is spliced from 5 exons. Lineage: Eukaryota; Metazoa; Chordata; Mammalia; Carnivora; Canidae.
GGAAGGGAAGGGGGGGGAGAGAGAAGCGAUCGCGAGAAAAAAAAAAUGCAACCUCCCAAAAUAAAGAGCAAAGAUUGCAUUAGGAGCGAACAGCGCUGCAGAAAUAGAUGGCAGCUUCGUGUCAGUGAGUUUGCAUCCCCCUUCCUGAUCCACGAGCUGGAGUGAUUAGAGCCCUGGAAGGGAAUUGUUACUCCCGUGGAGAAGUCCCCUUUUCCUGGCAGCCGUCUGCACUUGUACACGCUGGAUGCCUCUCUCCAUCCACCCCACUCACUCUCUCCUCUCUCACCUCCUCUCUUCCUCUCUCCUGCAUUGAUUUUUUUUUUUUUUUCCUUUUUAGUUGACUGAAACAAAACAAAACAAAAGGGCCACUGGAUGUCUGCCUUCUUGGGGGGUGAGCCAGACAGACUGACAAACAAACAGACCCAACUGUGUUCGGGGGAGGGUUUCUCCUCCCGUUUUGCCCGGCAGCAGCAGCAUGGACGUGUUGGCUAGUUAUAGUAUAUUCCAGGAGCUACAACUUGUCCACGACACCGGCUACUUCUCAGCUUUGCCAUCCCUGGAGGAGACCUGGCAGCAGACAUGCCUUGAAUUGGAACGCUACCUACAGACGGAGCCUAGGAGGAUCUCGGAGACCUUCGGGGAGGACUUGGACUGUUUCCUCCAUGCUUCUCCUCCCCCGUGCAUUGAGGAAAGCUUCCGGCGCUUGGACCCGCUGCUGCUCCCGGUGGAAGCCACCAUCUGCGAGAAGAGCUCGGCAGUGGACAUUCUGCUCUCUCGGGACAAGUUGCUAUCUGAGACCUGCCUCAGCCUCCAGCCAACCAGCUCUUCUCUAGACAGCUACACAGCCGUCAACCAGGCCCAGCUCAACGCAGUGACCUCAUUAACGCCCCCGUCGUCCCCUGAGCUCAGCCGCCAUCUGGUCAAAACCUCACAGACUCUCUCAGCCGUGGAUGGCACGGUGACGUUGAAACUGGUGGCCAAGAAGGCUGCGCUCGGCUCAGUCAAGGUGGGAGGGGUGGCAACGGCAGCAGCGGCCGUGGCGGCAGCUGGGACAGUUAAGAGCGGACAGAGCGACAGUGAGCAAGGAGGGGUGGGGGCCGAGGCGUGCCCCGAAAACAAGAAGAGGGUUCACCGCUGUCAGUUUAACGGGUGCCGGAAAGUUUAUACAAAAAGCUCCCACCUAAAGGCCCACCAGAGGACUCACACAGGUGAGAAGCCUUAUAAGUGCUCAUGGGAAGGGUGUGAAUGGCGUUUUGCACGAAGCGAUGAGCUCACGAGGCACUACAGGAAACACACAGGUGCAAAGCCCUUUAAAUGCAACCACUGCGACAGGGCAGCUUGUUAACAUCAUAACGAGAAUGUUGGACUGCGAGCAUGUCUUGGGCCUCUGGAGAGCCUGGGAAUAUCCUCACAGGUGUUUUUCCAGGUCUGACCAUCUUGCCCUCCACAUGAAGAGACAUAUCUAAAACCCCUAAAGGCCAGAGUUGCCAUGGCGUCGGCCGUUGUCUGAAGGAAAUGCCGUGAGGCAGGGGGCUGGACUUCAGGCGGGGAUCCAUUGCCUCGCAGAAGAAAGUUCUCACUCAUAAACCUCUGUGUACACGCACACACACACACACACACACAGACACACACACACACACAUGCACUCACAUAGACCCACACACACGCACUGUCAUGCACUCAGCUAUAUUUAAAAUAUAUACGUCUAUUCUUUAUGCCUUGCCCUUGCCAGAUGGUAGAAGACGAAGAAGAAGGAAACCAGGUGAACUCAGCAAGGCAGACUGGCUGCUUACUUCAGCACUAUUGGAAUUAUUUCCCGCUGUUGCCAAUGGAAAUCAAAGAAAACGGAUGUGACGUCUCUGCAGGUGGACGGCAGUAAGAGGGGCUUAUUUAACUUGCUUCUCAGUGCAACUUGAUAGGAGAAUACAACGUCGUAAAGUUGCAUAUGUGUAGCACUAAUGUUUCUUUUUAAAUAGUUGGGGGAAAAUGACCUAGAAAACCAAAUUGCAGUUUGGUAGCCAAAAUUAACUCUUGGUUUAUUUGUCCUUUGUGUGUGAAAAGUCCUCCUAUUCCGUGCGUCCGACUUCCUCACAGAACUGUUGAUCGGUUUUGGUUCUCCUUAGUACUAUUGAGAUCUUUCGAGUCGAUACCAACGGCCUUAGCGGCGGCAGACUGGAAUAACACCAUACACCUUUCUGGCCUGCAUUUCUCUAGACUUCACUCUCAAGGGAGGAGUUUUCUUUUCUUACUUUUUGACUCUUGCACACCAUAUGCACUAGGGAUUCUGGAAACUUCUAGCAUGACUGCAAAGUGGCCAAGAGAAUAAAGUCCUUGAUGAUAAGUCACAGUAUAUCCCUUGAGCCUCACCUUAUUGCCAGUGCUAGAUUUUUUCUUUUUAAUCUCUGUUUUUGCUAACGAAAACUUGAAAAGCUUAUUUGGAAGCUUAAAUGUUUUAUCUUUUCUCCAUGGACUAAACCUCUCCAGGACUUUCUCGGCACCUGGAUGUCCAGCUCUCGAAGCAGCCAAUCAGAUGGGACAUCACAGUUCUCUCAUCCCCCUUGAGGCAUCAUGACCUCAGCGCAUAGUGAUCAACCCCGUGCUGGGUGUCAUUGCUGCCCUAUAACCAGUCUCAGCAUAGAUGUUGCUAGUCUCAAAAGGGCAGCUGCAUAUUUAACCUAACUCUGGGUUAUGACCUGACAAAAAGCCAAAAAAUAUCACUCUUUCCAGGAGUGGGGAAAACUGAGGAUGCCUCCUGAGUCUAGUGGCUUCCGAAAAUAUCAUCCUAUCUUCCUCUCUCAUACCCACUGAGCUCAUACUCCCCCACUUGUUAAAACACACAAUUCAAAAUGCCAUUGUGGGAAUGAAGGGUGGACAUUUAAGGAAAGGGUUGAGAAGUUUCUCUCAUGGUCUGUCUGAAAGGAGAGACAUGUUUCUAAUUCUUUUUGGCUAGACCCACCAUGACUUUGUGACCUAGAGCACCCAGGAUCAACAGAGGCCUCACAUUUACUCUGCAAAAGCUGACUCCAAGGGGGUUCACAUUCCUCACUUUUCAUCCCACACACAUCCAAUAUCGGUCUCUAUCUACCCGCAUUCUUAGCUAGCUGGCACUGGCCUCAACUCCAAAGACUGCCUUUAGGACCAUUAAAUGGCCUAUGCAAGCAAGCGGGGUGGUUAUUAGGACAGAUUGUAUAUUUUGUAUAUUCUGGGACCAUCCCUUCAAGACACGUCUAAAAAACAAAAAUGGCAUUUGGUCCGCACAUGGUUGCUGCUCCUUCAUACCAGCUGGCUCCCCUUCUGCCCUCCUUUGACUGUUUGACUCAUUGACUGUUAAAAUGCCGCCCCAUACCUAUUUGGGAUGCAAAACUGAAGUCUUUAAAAGGAAAUAAUAAUAUAAGAAACACAAAUACAUGUAUGACAGCAACCUUCAAGAUCCUUGGCAUUUGGUUUCUCAGCUUUCUACAACCUUUGACUUCCCCGAAAUGUUGAAAGUGCCCGUCAAAGGGUAAAGGAGCCUCCUGAUUACAAAUGCGGUAGCUACCGAUGGGACACCUGGGCAUUCUGAGGUCUGGCCCUUAAAGUUUUCUUUCUCUUUUCCCCUUUUUCAAUGUAGACCAAAAACCAAAACAACAGCAACAACAGCAACAACAACAAGAACAAAAACCAACAACAACAACAACAAAAAAAAAGAAAAACCACCCUAAAACACACACACAUAAAAUCUGCCCAUUUGCCGGAGGCAAUUCUGUAUAUGUUAGUUGGAGGGUAUUUAAAAAAAAAAAAAAAUCAGUUUUAUUCCAAAGAUUUAAAACUAGACAUGACUUAGAAACAUUUUCUGGAGCACUGCUUGCUGACAAUCUCGUAGUUCUCUACUGCAUUUGAGUGCAUUUUGUGGCCAGUCCAUCAGGGCGUAUCAUGGGAUUAUAUUUGAAUGUGUGGUGCAUCCUUUCUGGAUGAAGGAUGUGUGAGGGACCUUAAACCUCAGCUGUAUUAAACUGUAGCGCCUCCAGUCAGUGCACUAGAUGAAACUUUAGACACCCCAGAUUUUGUUGGUUCGUUGAUUUCCCUUUCUGUAGCAGCCUCCAGCAUGAAUGCACGCACAUACCAGUGAUGGCAUUAGCCGUGGCUGCCACGAUUUACAAAUGUCCUCUCCCCAGCUGGAGCUGCUCUUGCCUCUCGAAAUGCUAUUAUUAAGGGUUUAUAAUACUGAAUUUAAUUUUUGAACUGACCAAUGCAAGGCUCUAUUAAAAAGAAAGUUUAAAAAAAAAAAGAAUGCAAAAGAGUAAUCAUUGCUUGUUUGCUCCCUGUUGUCAUCUGUGGUCUUGAAAAGUUCUCAUUUGAAUGUGGCAGAACAAAGACCCUUUGGUCCUCAUCAGUGUCUGAAAUGUUCAGUGAUUCCUCUCUCUUUUGUAUCAGUGAGGUCCUUUGUACUGUGCUCCUGACCUUUCUCAGAGCAGGGUGCACUGAACCAUGAUGGUGGGGCUUGCUUGCUUCAGAGUCAUUUGUGGACUGUGAGAAUUGGCCUGAAAUUUGGUGGGUGCUAAGUGUAUGGCUUGGAAACUGUUCUUCUCUAGCCCAAUUGACACCUGUGAACGAUAACCUAUCCAUAACAGCGAGGGUAGCGCCAAUCAUUUUCGAAACGGAUUUGUGAUAAAAUGUCCAUCAUCUCUGAAAUGGCAGAGGUGGUUGGUAAGAGCCUGCCAGAGAGAACAGGCUUUCCAAGAAAUAACCAUCUGAAAAUACUUGGCUCCCAGGAGGACAGGUUAUUUAAAAUAGUGCUUUACUGGACAUUUAAAACACAUCAAACCGCUUUCUCAUUUAAAUUGUCACCUCCUGACAUUUCCGGGGAUCCCAAAUUUGGAAGGAAAAACCUAGCAUGGUGUUUCUUGUGGUUGUCCUCUCAAGCACAUUUGAUCCAGGGUUCAGAGUUCGAUGUAUAGAGAAAGAGUGUUUCUAAGCCAUUGACAAUUUUCUUUAUUUCAAGUUGUGCUUCUUUCUCCUACCACAUGGCUGUAAGUCAAAGAUGUGGAAACAUGAAAUUAUGAUGCUUCUCCUAGCUACUGGCCUCCUGCCCCACUAAUGGUUAAUUGGCCCAGCUUAAAGCCUGGUGGUGAUGAGUACUAUGUCCAGAAAAAGAAAUGUUCAGAUUCCGUGACAAAGCUGCAUUUUAUAAAAAUAUCGGAGACCCCAAAAUGAACUUCAUGCUGACCAUUUCCUUCUCCCUUCUAUGUGCUUUCCCUUGCAAAGCCCUUCAAAUCCCCUGUCUCCUCCCCUCCUGCACCUCUUGUGCCCUUUUUACAUCUUAGAUUGCCUGAUUAUAACAGGGUAAAAAGAAAGCCAACCUCACGCACGAUUUGCAGAACUGAUUCCUACUUUUAAAAAAUCUUCUUUGAAUCCAGAAGCCAGAGAAGAUUUUUUUAGGGGCUUUAGUUUGGGAUAAAGCUUCCAGAUUAGCCAUGUCUAUUUGCAUCAAAGGGGAAAUAAAUGGGACUUUCAGGGCAGCUCACCUAGUGCAUUCAGAACAUUCCGCCCAUAGCCCCCAUGCCUGAAUUUGAUGGCAAAGUCAAAAGAAAUUAACUCAACCGGCAACAAUGACAACAUCUUAGUGAUCAGUUUCAUUGGUUCAAAGUGAUUUCCUCGAUGGAAGUCGCUUCAUAAAAUAUAAAAUACAGUGCACAGUGCUUUUGUCCUCUCUUUUGCAUGAGUUUGGUUUUAGGAGAAGGAAGAAGGUAGGGAAAGUCAGAGAGAUGCAACGUAUUUAACUGCAAAAAGCAGGUUCAUUCUUUCUUUCUUUUUAAAAGAUCUGACGAGGGCCGGCAUUUCUGGCCAUAAUUUUGCACCCGGAUCUUUGCCAAAGUGAAAAUUCGUUAAGUGGAACCUGUUUGAAAUGUACUUGUGGAAGCUUUCCCUGGCAUCUUCCAGAAGUGGCCACCUGCCAAGCGUGGGGUGGGGGCAGGAGGAGAGAAUUCGAAUUCUGAGUCUGGGUUACAUUUCGGUAAACAUGGUGAUAUCUCAGUUUGGAAAACUAGUGGGGCUGGCCUGAGCGUCCAUCAAUGCCUCUUUGAUGGCCUACUUUCCUCAGUGAGGAUCUUUGGGAAUACUUGAGAUAGAACAACAAAAAUGUGUCCAAGGAAACAAAAACUGCUUGUAAAUGUGAGAUCCUGUGACUAAUGGCCUGAGGCUUCAGGGUUUUCUCUUGCUUUUAACACUCUUACGUCCCCUCUGCUGGUUCCUAAUAGAUCCCGGAAGGAACAGGGGGAAAAUCAAGCUGCAAUUCACUUUCUUAUGCGCGCCCUUCCAAUAGAGUACUGUAUUCUUCAGGUGUUUUGCAUUUGCGUUUGUAAGUCCUCGGGAAACAGGUAUCAGAAAAUGGGAGAGCGAAAUCCUGGGCCAUCACUUCACUAAUAUCCCAAACCAGAUACUCUUUUCAAACAGGGCUCCCUCUCAGCGGUCAUGAGGGAAGGGUGAUAACGUUCUUUGUUGGGGACUGUUUAUACAAUUUUUUUCAACUGUAAGCUUUGGAAUCGUAAAUUGCUUUGACUCCAGCUUCUGUCUACUGCCAUAAAAUGGACCCCACGUCAGAAUAAUGAGGGUGGUAUGUGUGCACAUGCCAUGCACGUGUGCAGAUGUACCUAUUGUACCUUCGCAGAAGGAAAACAGGCUACUGAUGUUUAAGAGGAGUAGCCACCAGUGCCUAAUAUCUUUUGGGGGGGAUGGAUGCUUAUAAUGCCAGUAUAUUGAAACCACACUGGGAGUUCCACAUGGAGGGGAGGGGCGGAGGGUGGGGAGAGGGGACAUUUUAAUCCUAGGCCUUUGGACUGGAGGCAGAAUGAUUUCUGCAAAUCUAGCUCCUGAAAGGCUUUGGGGCUCAUUGGCUGGUUCUCAAACUUUUGAUUUGAUUUUAGUUUUUUCCAGCAUGCAUUUCCUAUCUAAACCCAGACUUGGUUUAAUUUCCUUAUCUUUCACUUCUGCUUCAUUCCAGGGAGGAAAAAUACACCUAUUAUGGCCAAGAUCUCCUUGCUAACACAGAGGCAAAAAUAAAUGUUUAAUGUUUUUGCAGCCUCCCCUUCCUUUCCGUAAAUACCCCCCAAACCCCCUUCUCUCUCAUCACUCUGUCCCCAUUCCCGCCACACAACUCCCCAGCCACCACCACUUUGCUUUCCAGUCUCUAUUCUCCUCUUAACAGUUGCUUGAAGAAAUUUGUUUUUGCACUAUACAUUUUCUUUUUGCCAGAUGUGUCUAACAAGUGUGUUCGGAGAGACCUCCUCCCAGUCCCCUCCCCUCCCCCGCCUCCCCCGGUCACAUUCUCUCAGGCCUUCUCUGGUAUUUAUAAUAUAUCACAGAAGUACCCAGUCUUAUAGCCCUCGGUUAUGCCUUUUUUUGACAUUUUAUUUUUUUUAAGCUUUUUAUAUAUAUAUAUAAAUAUAUUACUUUGUCAAGUUUUUUUGCUGUACAAAAGUCUUAAGAUUUAAAACUAUUAUUUGUAUUAUAUGAUGGUGGUAUGUUAAUGUUACAAAAUUAUUAAUGAAGAAAAAAUUUAUUUUUGUUACUGGUCUGUUUCAUAAUUCUUUUUUAAAUUGGUAUAUUGUAAGAUAUCUAUGCAAAAAAUGUUAUGUGACGCAUUUUUAUUUAAGAAUGUAAUAUGUGUAAUAAACAGUAGAAUGUGUUUGGC